RNAcentral lists this long non-coding RNA (693 nucleotides) under Ananas comosus (pineapple). Its description in RNAcentral is "long non-coding RNA (ACOM_LNC025572)". The record is from RNAcentral. Lineage: Eukaryota; Viridiplantae; Streptophyta; Magnoliopsida; Poales; Bromeliaceae.
AAAAUAAAAAUAAUAUACUAUAGGCUAUAUAUAUAUAUAUAUAUAUAUAGAGCAGUGUUGCUGUGCUCUCAGGAGCACGGAGGCCUCCGUGCUCCUGAGCCGUUUUCGAUGAUGAAAUUUUCGAAUCGACGAUCGCCUCCGUUAGACUUGAUCUAGCGCAUUUGAAGUUUCUAGAAAAUAAUUUUUGCGAUUUUUCGAUAUCAUUUACCUAGUGAUCGAAAUGAUUCAAAAUCUAUAAUUUUUAAUGGUUGAUAUCUGCCGUUUUCAAGUUUAACGGUGUAGAAGUAUUCAAAUCAGAUGGUGUAGAAGUAUUCAAAUCAGAUGAAAUUUUGAUAGAAAAUUUUUUAUACUAUCUACAACAAGAGCUAUAUUUCUGAUCGAAAAUUUUAGUGCUAUAUCACCACUUUUUAUAGGAUUUUUAUUUUCAGCCGUUAAAAAUUAUUGAUUUUGAAUCCUUUCGAUUGCUAGGUAAAUAAUAUCGAAAAAUCGCAAAAAUUAUUUUCUAGAAACUUUAAAUACGCUAGAUCAAGUUUAACGGAGCCGAUCGUCGAUUCGAAUGCUCCAUCAUCGAAAACGGCUCAGGUGCACGGAGACCUCCGUGCUCCUGAGAGCACAGCAGCCCUGCUCUAUAUAUAUAUAUAUAUAUAUUUAUUUAUUUAUUUAUUAUAAUGUCAAUUAUUACUUUAUAUAUUU